GCCGGCGUGUCGGAAUUGGCAGACGAGGCAGACUCAAAAUCUGUUGGCAGCAAUGUCGUGUGGGUUCAAGUCCCACCGCCGGCA
Molecule: transfer RNA, 84 nt
Filed under: Acetitomaculum ruminis DSM 5522
Lineage: Bacteria; Bacillati; Bacillota; Clostridia; Lachnospirales; Lachnospiraceae
Rfam family: tRNA
About the family: Transfer RNA (tRNA) molecules are approximately 80 nucleotides in length. Their secondary structure includes four short double-helical elements and three loops (D, anti-codon, and T loops).
Source: Rfam by way of RNAcentral